CUGUUACACGGUCUGUUAAUUGCUAAGCAGAUCCAUAGCUUGGGUAUGUGGAUUGUUUUCCUGGCCAGGUUGCUGUCCAUUUCCUAGCAGCCAUGGCGACACACUGCGAAAUUCAUGCCAAGUCCUCGCGGGUUGCUGGAACGGUUGCACAGGGCCAUGGUAGAGCCUUACAGUUUACAAGAUGCUUUCCCGGGCAACACUUUCAGGGACCAUUGGCUGUAUCUAAGUGGGGAGAACAGAUGACGUCUGCCCAGUGCUGGUGGCCAUCCAUACAGCAAGCUGGGAGUCUCAGGAGAAUGGAGCCAUUGGAAGUGGAGUGCAACUCGGUUGAGUAAACAGAUUUCCUUCUUCCCAAAUGAUUUACUGUUCCAGCCUGACCUCCAGAGAAACAGCAGAUGCCAUGGCUUCUAUACUCCUGAUUUGGCGUGCCAUUUUCCUGGAACACCACUGCUGCAACCUGCCUCCCUGCCUCCUCAGCUCCCUCAAGGAACGUUCCUGAGAUUGACUACUGUGUGUGACUCCCGGUUCCUCCUUCCCCACUUCAGUCUCGGGAAUUCAGUGCCCUUGUUCCCCACUUGCUUUUAUCACUCACCUCUUUUUAUAAUAAUCAGCAUGGAGGAAUGUUAAUAUUCUGACCCACCCCUUGAAAUCCAGCCCCUUGGGGCCUCCCCUUCCUCAUUCUCUCUCUCUUCACUUUCAUGAGGUGUGCACCCCUUGACCCUCACUUUUCUCUCUCUUUCCUAUUUUCUUUUCAUCUCUCUGUUAUAAUAAACCAUUUUCACAUGGA
Peromyscus californicus insignis is the source of this 787-nucleotide long non-coding RNA. RefSeq lists it as uncharacterized. The record is from RefSeq and is a predicted model, not a curated record. The transcript is spliced from 5 exons. NCBI's taxonomy places the organism in Eukaryota, Metazoa, Chordata, Mammalia, Rodentia, Cricetidae.